RNAcentral lists this ribosomal RNA (250 nucleotides) under uncultured prokaryote. RNAcentral's name for it is "partial 16S ribosomal RNA". It matches the Rfam family "Bacterial small subunit ribosomal RNA", at positions 524 to 774 of the family's 1533-position model. The record is from RNAcentral.
UACGUAGGUGGCGAGCGUUAUCCGGAUUUAUUGGGCGUAAAGCGUCCGCAGCCGGUUUGUUAAGUCCAGAAUUAAAGCCCGAAGCUCAACUUCGGUUCGUUUUGGAAACUGGCAGACUCGAGUGUGGUAGAGGCAAGUGGAACUUCUAGUGUAGCGGUGGAAUGCGUAGAUAUUAGAAAGAACACCAGUGGCGAAAGCGACUUGCUGGGCCAUUACUGACGGUCAGGGACGAAAGCGUGGGGAGCAAAUA